GACGCUGAUACCUGAUGGCCGGGAAACUGCCUGCAAAGCAGUUUGAAGUGGGUUCGAUUCCCACCGGCGUCU
Molecule: transfer RNA, 72 nt
Filed under: Gimesia maris
Lineage: Bacteria; Pseudomonadati; Planctomycetota; Planctomycetia; Planctomycetales; Planctomycetaceae
Description: tRNA-Cys
Rfam family: tRNA
About the family: Transfer RNA (tRNA) molecules are approximately 80 nucleotides in length. Their secondary structure includes four short double-helical elements and three loops (D, anti-codon, and T loops).
Source: RNAcentral